UUUUUACAACCUAUUACAGACCAAAAGUAAAAUUACAUUAGAAAUUAAACUACAACCAAGGAGCCUAAUUCAGACUCAAGGUCUAAAAAUGAGAUGAAUCAACUCCGAAGAUCAGGAUUUCCAAGGCCUUUCUCUUAUUUGGAAUGUGUAAAAGUUCCCUAAGAGUCUCAGGUGGACUCCGGACAGUGCUUACACCCAAAUAUAUUGCAGAAUUAAGAUAGUGCAGUGUGGAAAAGUCAGCCCUUGAAUGUCCAAGUUAAGAGAGAACUCACGGUCCCAAAGCAACGCUUAUAGGAGAGGGCAGAACUUAGAAUCUAAGAGAGAUUACAAGUGCAUAAAGGGGGAGUUAGGGAAGGCCAUGGCAGGGUGGUGGUCAUGCCCAUCAAUUAGGAGUGCUGGCACACCCCUGACUAGCCUGUUAGCCAAAUUUGGGCAGUUAGGAUCCAUUGAGGAUCAAGUUCAGACAUGGGAAACAAUUUGGAUGUUGUCCGGCCAUGAACCCUAACUCGAACACAUAGAAGGGAGUAAGGAUAUGGGGAAGUUCAUAACAAACAACAGAUGCAAAGAAGGGUAACUUAAAACAUAAACAGCAAAGUAGACAAGAUGGUAGUAACUGUAAAUUAAACACAUACGGAUGAGGCUGAAAUCAAAAUCAAGACAUACCAAUUUCAGGAAAUAAGAAGAGAAAAAGCAAAAGUCUUGUAAACUAAAUUGCAAGCAAACUGUCCAAGAACUCUCAGAAGAGAGUAGAGUAUUGAAAGAGUAUUGUGUGUGUAAAAUAUUGAAUUCGAAGUGUUCAAUAAGUGAUGUGUUUAACUGAAGGUAAUGUCAGUUGAAGGUGUCGAACUAAAGGUUCAAGGUUCAGGUUCUACGUUUUUUUGAGUAGAAGGGUAGAAGGGUUGUGCCCCUUUUAUAAUGUAGAAAACAAGUAGGAAAAGGUAAGGAAUAGUUUGCAAUCAAUCACAUAUAGUAUCCCUUUAGUUAAGGGAUUUUGAUUUCAAACGGGUAGGGGAUAAAUGAAGAAAGAAACUUGAUUAAAAUCUUUUCCAAAGUAACAUAAAAGGCUGAAGGUGUCGAACUGAAGGUUCAAGGUGGUUGUCAAUGCAGACGGGUUGUACCCCUUUUACAGUGCAGAAAACAAGUAAGAAAAGGUAAGGGAAUAGUUUUGCAAUGAAUCACAUAUCUCCCUUCAGUUAAGGGAUUCUGAUUUCAAACGGGUAGAAGAAAAUUAAGGAAAGAAUUUGAUUAAAAUAUUUUCCAAAGUAACACAAGAAGGGUAAAUACACAUGAGUUAUUUAAGGCAAAAGUUUAGUAGUGCAUGGUUUGUGAAAAAUAAGGAAAAGGAAUCAAAUAAACAGCCAGAAAAAUCAAUAUUGCAUGUUGUAUUCGAAUGAACCAAGUUAGGAAAAGGUAAAAAGGGUUCAAUUACAGAAAAAUCAGAAACAAUCAGCCAAACCUUAUUACAAGGAAUUCAAAAUCAAUCAGUAGUUGUCAAAACCCUUUUGAAGGAAGAUAUAUAAAACAUACAAAUAUCAAACAAAAUGAGUUGUCGUGCUAAUUAGAAAAAUAUAGGCAUGGAAAGGUUCAGAGUCAUAAGCAAAGAGUUUUAAAUUCAAUUCACAGUACCUAGAAUGCGCCUGACGGUUUGGGGUUCCAAAGUAGAACCCUAAUCAAACUUGCCAAAGAAACCCCCAAAUCC
RNAcentral lists this long non-coding RNA (1699 nucleotides) under Nicotiana benthamiana. RNAcentral's name for it is "long non-coding RNA (NBEN_LNC018694)". Lineage: Eukaryota; Viridiplantae; Streptophyta; Magnoliopsida; Solanales; Solanaceae. The record is from RNAcentral.